This 200-nucleotide ribosomal RNA is filed under the name uncultured bacterium. RNAcentral describes it as "partial 16S ribosomal RNA". It matches the Rfam family "Bacterial small subunit ribosomal RNA", at positions 29 to 255 of the family's 1533-position model. The record is from RNAcentral.
AACGAACGCUGGCGGCAGGCUUAACACAUGCAAGUCGAACGCCCCGCAAGGGGAGUGGCAGACGGGUGAGUAACGCGUGGGAAUCUACCGUACCCUACGGAAUAACGCAUGGAAACGUGUGCUAAUACCGUAUACGCCCUACCGGGGAAAGAUUUAUCGGGGUAGUGGAUGAGCCCGCCGUUGGAUUAGCUAGUUGGUGG